This 1895-nucleotide ribosomal RNA is filed under the name Cyanobium sp. CZS_48D. Its description in RNAcentral is "bacterial SSU rRNA". The stretch from base 1 to 1469 matches the Rfam family "Bacterial small subunit ribosomal RNA". The record is from RNAcentral. Lineage: Bacteria; Bacillati; Cyanobacteriota; Cyanophyceae; Synechococcales; Prochlorococcaceae.
CCUGGCUCAGGAUGAACGCUGGCGGCGUGCUUAACACAUGCAAGUCGAACGAGCCUUCGGGCUAGUGGCGGACGGGUGAGUAACGCGUGGGAAUCUGCCCUCAGGAGGGGGAUAACGGCCGGAAACGGCCGCUAAUACCCCAUAUGCCGAGAGGUGAAACGAAUUUCGCCUGGGGAUGAGCCCGCGUCUGAUUAGCUAGUUGGUGAGGUAAUGGCUCACCAAGGCAUCGAUCAGUAGCUGGUCUGAGAGGAUGAUCAGCCACACUGGGACUGAGACACGGCCCAGACUCCUACGGGAGGCAGCAGUGGGGAAUUUUCCGCAAUGGGCGCAAGCCUGACGGAGCAACGCCGCGUGAGGGACGAAGGCCUCUGGGCUGUAAACCUCUUUUCUCAAGGAAGAAGACAUGACGGUACUUGAGGAAUAAGCCACGGCUAAUUCCGUGCCAGCAGCCGCGGUAAUACGGGAGUGGCAAGCGUUAUCCGGAAUUAUUGGGCGUAAAGCGUCCGCAGGCGGCCUUGAAAGUCUGUUGUUAAAGCGUGGAGCUCAACUCCAUUUCAGCAAUGGAAACUACAAGGCUAGAGUGUGGUAGGGGCAGAGGGAAUUCCCGGUGUAGCGGUGAAAUGCGUAGAUAUCGGGAAGAACACCAGUGGCGAAGGCGCUCUGCUGGGCCAUAACUGACGCUCAUGGACGAAAGCCAGGGGAGCGAAAGGGAUUAGAUACCCCUGUAGUCCUGGCCGUAAACGAUGAACACUAGGUGUCGGGAGAAUUAACCCUUUCGGUGUCGUAGCCAACGCGUUAAGUGUUCCGCCUGGGGAGUACGCACGCAAGUGUGAAACUCAAAGGAAUUGACGGGGGCCCGCACAAGCGGUGGAGUAUGUGGUUUAAUUCGAUGCAACGCGAAGAACCUUACCAGGGUUUGACAUCCUGCGAAUCCUUUGGAAACUUAGGAGUGCCUUCGGGAGCGCAGUGACAGGUGGUGCAUGGCUGUCGUCAGCUCGUGUCGUGAGAUGUUGGGUUAAGUCCCGCAACGAGCGCAACCCACGUCUUUAGUUGCCAGCAUUCAGUUGGGCACUCUAGAGAGACCGCCGGUGAUAAACCGGAGGAAGGUGUGGAUGACGUCAAGUCAUCAUGCCCCUUACAUCCUGGGCUACACACGUACUACAAUGCUACGGACAAAGGGCAGCAAACUCGCGAGAGCUAGCAAAUCCCAUAAACCGUGGCUCAGUUCAGAUCGUAGGCUGCAACUCGCCUACGUGAAGGAGGAAUCGCUAGUAAUCGCAGGUCAGCAUACUGCGGUGAAUACGUUCCCGGGCCUUGUACACACCGCCCGUCACACCAUGGAAGUUGGCCAUGCCCGAAGUCGUUACUCCAACCCGCAAGGGAGGAGGACGCCGAAGGUGGGGCUGAUGACUGGGGUGAAGUCGUAACAAGGUAGCCGUACCGGAAGGUGCGGCUGGAUCACCUCCUAACAGGGAGACAAUCACUGAUUGUGAUGUCUGGCUAAUUUAUUGCUAGACCAUGGUCCUGUCAUCUCGAUGGUUAAUCGGUACCUCAACCGACGGAAACGAAGUUUGAAGUUUUUCCAGAGAUGGGAAAGCUGAUGAGCUGUUGUGGAUGUCUUUUCAGUUCCUAAACUUUGUCUAGGUCACCCCCGCAAGGGAAUCCCUGGGCCAUUAGCUCAGGUGGUUAGAGCGCACCCCUGAUAAGGGUGAGGUCCCUGGUUCAAGUCCAGGAUGGCCCAUUCGUGUUCGGGGGUUUAGCUCAGUUGGUAGAGCGCCUGCUUUGCAAGCAGGAUGUCAGCGGUUCGAGUCCGCUAACCUCCACUGACCAACCCUUCCCGAUCGCGAAAACAACGGGACAGAGCUUGUGGUGGUGAAUUUAGACGAUUGUACUGA